GGUUUGUAGCAAAUACUCAGUAAGAGUUAACCAUGAUUCUUUUAUGACUCAGAAGGUAUUAUGUAGUGGUUUCUUACAUUUUAGAGUCAUCAUUAGUUAUCUGCCUAUAAAUAUACAUAUAUAUGAAAUAAAUAUCAGGACAUACCAUAUCUAGAAAGAAUACACAUUCUUAUUGUGUGUAAUGUAUAAUUUUUUGGUCUAGGCUAAAUUGUAAAGUAUCAGUUGAUUCUUUAAGUUGGAGUUUUGCACAUAACAUGUAAUAAACAAAUGGAGAGCACACUAUUUAUUCAAUACUAAGAUGCAAUUUUUCUUCUAACAAUUCUCAAUUCUGAAAAUAACUUGUAAUCAAUGUGUAUAAAACUUUUGGUCCCCCAUUCAACAAAUAACUUGUUUUUGGAAUCAUGAAAAUAAUAUUUGGAAAUAUAUAGACACAUAUACACACACAUAUAUAUAGGUGUUAGUGCUAUGGAAUAGAUUCCGACUCCUAGCAACCCUGUGCACGGCAGAGUGGAACGCUGCCCAGUCUUUCUGCGCCAUCCUCUCAACUUCCGGCGCUAUGUCAACAAUGCUUGGUUGUUAUUCAUAGGGGUUUCAUGGCUAGUGUUUUCGAAAGUGAGAGUCCUGGUCCUUCUCCCUAGUCUGUCUUAGUCCGGAAGCUCCACCAAAACCCGUCUAGCAUGGGUGACCCUGCUGGUAUUUGAAAUACUGGUGGCAUAGCUUUCAGCAUCACAGCAACAUGCAGCCACCACAGUAUGACAACAGAAGGUAGUAUGGUUCCCUGACUGGGAAAGGAACCUGGGCCAUGGCAGUAAGAGCAAUGAACCCUAACCACUAGACUACCAGGGCUGGCUAUAUAUGAAUAUAUAUAAUCAAAUACCACCUUUUUACGUGUGUAUAUGUUUGUAUAUAAAGUGGCUUAAUUCAUAAAGAUAUUGAUACAUUUGACCAUAUGAAAAUUAAAAGACAUUUAAAGAAAAUGACAAGACCAGUCACCAAAUGGGAGAAAGUACAUGCAACACACAACUGAAGGUGAUAGCAUCAAGAAUAUAUAAAAAGUCAUACAGAUCAAUAAGAAAAAAAAUAGAAAAAUGGAAAAAAGACAGGACUAAGUAUUUCAUACAAAAGAAACACAUUUGGGGAGCUGGCCCCGUGGCCUAGUGGUUAAGUUCAGCACGCUCCACUUCAGUGGCCCGGGUUCAGUAUCCAGGCAGAGACCUACAUCACUCUUUGGAAGUAUGUUGUGGCGACAACCCACAAACAAAAAAAAAGAAGGGGCCCGCCUGGUGGCGCAGCAGUUAAGUUCGCACGUUCCGCUUCGGCGGCCUGGGGUUUGCCGGUUCAGAUCCCAGGUGCAGACCUAUGCACUGCUUGUCAAGCCAUGCUGUGGCAGGGGUCCCACAUAUAAGGUGGAGGAAAAUGGGCAUGGAUGUUAGCUCAGGGCCAGUGGUCUUCAGCAAAGAAGAAGAGGAUUGGCAGCAGAUGUUAGCUCAGGGCUAAUCUUCCUCAAAAGAACAAACAAACAAAGGAAGGCCAUGCUUAUUCAAAUGAUGAUAGUGUGUCCUGAACCAAGAAUUAUUAUUAAUCCAUUUCCAGGCAUCUGGGGUCCAGAAGAGACGGCAGCUCGUUUUAAAAGAUUAGUGGGUGAGUGCAUUAUUUGCUUUUACGACUUUCCUUGUUGUAUUUUGUGUUGUACUUGGUAUCUUAUGAGAGUUACUCCACAUAUCAUUGCCUUAUUUUUUACAGUAAAUGUCAAAAGAUAAAAUUUCACAAAAUAGAAGAGUGUUUCACAUUUUACAAAAUCUACUAUGGUGAUUGCUGCUGAGUAGGCAACGGACACCAUUGCUGAUGCCUUCAAAGACUCACCAAGUGUUUGGGGAGCUUAAUGAGAUAGCAGAAAUAGCAGACAGAUUUAAAAAACAAAAAAACUAGAGAAGCCUAUUUACUUUCUUUUUCUUUUUGCCAAUCACCUUUAUUUCCCAGAUCACAAGGUGCUGCACACGCCACGGGCUCCAGGUUCCCAGUGAGAGGUACUAAUCAGAUGGAGGAGAAUAAAGUCCACUGUCGAAUUUUAAAAAUGAAAUGUGUAUUUCCAUUUGUAGGUACAAUCAGAAAGAAAAUGUAUCACACAAAAUGGUUUUAAAAAAGACUCUAGAAGAAAGAUUUUGAAAUUCAUGAAUCUUCUAAUUAUUACUACCUACAUUUAGAUUUAAAUGCUAUAGAAAAGCACAGCUUUAGGCAUAUUAUGCUUUGCACUUAGUAAUUUUAAGUAUAAAAUUAAAAUUCGCUAUUGUGAUCAACCAAAUUCCUGGUAAUUGAACAAAGAAUAUAUAAUUUAGAGAUGUAGUAAAUGUCAAUAAAACAUCAUGGGUGACCAAUAUAUAGAACACAAAAACAGAAAGCCAGAAAUUUGAGCCAAGCUAACAAAACCAUUCAUAAUCAUGUAACUAAUUAUUCACUCUACAUAGCAUGGUCUUGACUAAUUCCAGAAAUGGAAAGGCAGAAAUGUUCUCUUCCCAGAACUUUAAGAAGAUGAUGACAACAGACUUGGCCUUGGAUCAUAAUCUCCCAACAGUGCUGUCAAGGAGUUCAGCUGAGGAGCACAUGUGCACGUUUCCUCAAUGGUCACUCCUGGAGCCACGCUUCAAGACUCAUCUGUUCUCACUCAGAGAGCUUUCUAAUUCAAGAGGAGCUAGGAGUGGGGGAUAACAAGUAGGAAAGCAGAUAUUUGAGUUUUUAACCUCCACCAUAAAUGAAGAUCACAAGACAAUGAACAUCAGCUGGAAGCAUUUGUUCUUCAUUUGGUAGCAAAUGACAAAGCUCUGAAAUGUGGCUGAUUGGAGGUGUGCUCUAAGAAGCUUAAUCUAGAAAAGAAAAAUAAAAUUAAUUGCAAGGGGAAAACAGAGGUGUAAAAAACAAGUAGAUGGCCAAUUCAUCAUUCAAGUAAGAGAUAAACAAGGUUGGAGUUCCAUGGAAUGAGUGGCAAUGGAAAGAAAAAGACACAUGUCAGAGGUACUGCAGAGAUCGAAUCAGGCAAGAUAUUUAAUUGGAAGAAGAGAUGGAGAAAGAGACAAGCAAUCGAAAAUGACACUGAUAUUCCAGACCAGGGUAAAAGGCAGUUCCACUAACAGAAAUAGAAGUGAGUGAAGUCUGAAGUUGUUGCUGAUUUUCCCAAGGAAGAUUAUCACUUGCUUUGGGGCAUGCUGAGUUUGUGUUGCCUGCUGAGCAUCCUACUGGAGAAAUACAUCUAGAUAUAGAGCUAUUCCUGAAAGUCAACAGACCAUAGCAAUUAAAAGCAUGGGCUUUGGAAUCAGCUAGAGCUCAGAUUCCUCAUCCACAAUAUGAAGGUAAUAUCAGAUCCUACUUUCCUGGAGAAGCCUAACUGAGGAAAUAUUUAAUGCACAGUGACUGCCUCAUAAAAAUUUUUAUGUAUUUGAGCUGAGGAGUAGCUACAUGUAAAUGCUCAUGGAAGCUAUGAGAAUGGGAGAAAUAACUAAAAACAAGACUGUAGAAAGAGAGCAUGUGAUGUGAAUGCCACUCAAAAACAGUGAGAAACACAGUGAUAACUAAGCCAACCUUUUAGUGAUUCUGGAUUCAAGACUGGAUGUGGAAUUAUGAACCAAAAGGCCCAGGGAUACGAUAUAUCUGCUCUUAAACACCCAAGAGGCCUCUCUCUUUCGGCACGUUGAUUGUCUAACUCUGUUUCUAUGUAGAUGCCUGGUACACUUAUCUCCAGUAUUGUCUACUGAUCUUAGAGUCCAUCACUCGGUAGAGAGGACUGGUGAGUCAGGAAAGUCUUGAUGCCUGGAUGAAUGGAUAGAUGGAUAGAUAGACAGACAGACAGAUAGAUAAAUAGAUAGAUAGGGGAGAUGGUGUAUUGUGGAGCACUGCCUGAAAUUAAAAGGAUUCUGUCAGAAGAUCUUAUACAAGGUUAAUUAACUUAGAGAUACAGUAGACUCCUGGCAUAAUAAAUUUAACAUUUGUAUUUUCAGCCUCUCACAAAAGUUGAUGAUAUGCAGACAAAAGAGAAAAUUGGCUAGGGAGUAAGCCUACAUAACUGUCAGCAUUUUUAUCUCAACACGUCUCUCUUGUAAAAAAAAAAAAAAGAAAUUAUCCAUUUCCAACUCUCUUUCCCAAAUAUUUAACCCAAAAACUGGAAAUAAAAGUAAAGAAGCCAGUGAGAGCACUGAUUGGUUGCUAAGAUUGGCAUGUUCAAUUCAGCAGUGACUUGGUGCCUUAGAAUGAUAUGAAUAUCUUCUAUGGAAAUAAAAUCACUUGAUGAACAGUUUUCAUCUAUACUGCAGUCAAAAGAAAAAUUGUUCACUUAGUAAGAAAGAAAACUUUAUCAAAAGUUGAAAAGAUUGUUAAAAUGUGAUGUUGCAUAAACAUCUUACAUGUUAAUUUGGGAAUUCAUGAGGUGUCAUGUGUCAUGUGUGUGCAAUAUUGGUUGGUUAAGGGCAUGCCUUUUUAUAGGGAAAUACCCUUUAGAAAAACAAUUGGUCGGGGACCAGGCCCGUGGCAUAGUGUUUGGGUUCACACGCUGUGCUUUACUGGCCUGGGGUUCACAGGUUCGGAUCCCAGGGGUGGACCAACAGACUGCUUAUCAGGCCUUGCUGUGGCGGCAUCUCACGUAUAGAAUAGAGGAAGAUUGGCACAGAUGCUAGCUCGGGGACAAUCUUCCUCAAGGACGAAGAAGAGGAUUAGAUCAUUAGGCAGAGAAAUAGGACUUUAAGUCUCAGUUUGCCACGUAGCCACUUACUUCUGCAUCUUGUCACAUAAAUAAGCCUUGGCAAGUAUGUCACAGAAUCAGCCCAGUCCUCAGUUUACUUAUCACAGAAGAAAAGACGGUGAAUGGACUGUACUAAAUGACCGUUAGCUCUAAGAACUUUCCAGGUCUGACAAUUUAUGACACUCUAUAGAAGUGGAUUCUGCAAUAUGUAUUGUGUUAAUGUUCCAUUCUUUUUUUACACUCCUUUAAAUUAUAUGUUUGGGAUGAGUAAAAGAGUCUCACGUGUUUUCACAGAAGACCUUGAUUUUUGUUAAUUUUCCCCGGUACUGGGUUCCAGAGUGACUGAUAAAAUGGGGCUAUCAGGUGAAGGCAAUUUUCCAAGCCUUCUCAUUAGAGUAAGCCUAGAGAUCGCUUCCUAAGAACAAGAUAUGAUUUUGAAAAAUUUCUAACUAGCCAAGAAAAUCACAUAGGGCCUCUUUUGGCUGCUUCUUGUGCUCAGUUGUACUAGUUCCUCAACAGAGGCCAGCAUCUACUUGGAGUUUGCUGUCUUUGUCAAGUUCCUUUUAUUCAAGCAAGAGGCAGUGGUGGAAAGUUUCACCAAAACAAAAUUCAAAAGUGCCUCAAAUUAGGACAUAUAAUCUGUCUUUGUGGCUCAGUUAUAGUUCUUGACCAAACCUUGCCAGAGGGAGUGCAGCACAGGUUAUGGGGCCCGGUCUCCAGCUUCCUCACACAUAUCUAGAUUCAGCAGGAACGGCUCUAAAUGGAACAAAAUAAAACCCUUAGAAUGGUUUUUCCUCAAAGGAUACAUUGAUUGCUCUUCUUCGACUGAAUUCUGUUCAUCUUGAUAUACUGAAGAGCAGUUCGUAGUAAGAAAAGAUAUUUUUCAACAAUAUUUUUUAUAAUAAUUAUUAUCACUUUAAAUUUGAGGGAUUGAAAAUGUAUUUGGAAAUAUUUGACCUAAAUUAGUUAAAGUUGCACUGACUUUAGAACAUAUUCCAUUCUUUGUGGCUGACACUACAAAAAUAUUCCCCAUCUGCCAAGCUCCGAACUCAACGCAUUCGGGAGAAGACUCAGAAACCUGCUCCACUGGCUAGCUCCGACUGUUAAAACAGAAACUCGUUCAAAACAUAGAACAUUUACUGACUUGAGAUGGUCAAGGACCCCUUGGAGAGAUUACAAAGCAUGCCAAAUAGAUUUCAGGCAAUUAAGAUCAUAAUAAAAAGUACAUCCAGAAUAUCAAGAAUUUACAAGACAGAGCCAUAUUAUUUCUGAAGACUUUAUGGCAUGUCCUUUUAACAAGUUUUAAUAGCUCUUCCUUGAAUAAAAUGCUCACAAUGAAACUGGAUAAUCAAAAUUGCUCUCAGCCUCUUUGCCUGAGUCAGAUAGUACUUGCCAGAGUUUUUAGAGUAGCAUCAGAAAAUACUGAUGCCACUAAAUCACUUGCUUCAAGAUCAGAGCCCUCUAAUUUUAAAUCACUGAUCAAACUAAGCCAUUUGGAGGCGCCCUGAUUUCUCUUGCUUCUGAGGCUUAUUAUAUUCAUUACCUCACUUCAACCAGGUUCUGGAUGACUUGUUUCUGUUCUAGUUAGAGCCGAUGUAAGAACGGUUUAAUGAUACUAAUAAGUAUGGGCCUGAGUCUGCCAUCCCUGUGGCCAUGCAACUUCCAUAAAGUCAAGAAGCCCUUUCAAAGCGCCUUAACCUUGAGGAUUCAUGUGCUGUCCAUAUGGGAAGACUUGUACAUCUUUAAGACGAUUGCUUCUUUGUUGCUAUUAUUAUCUUCUCAAAACAAAUAGAACAAACAGUGCACGUCAUGCCCAUCUUUUUCAGAGAAGAUAUCUUCAGAAAGCCCUUAAUGGGCCAACUGGAAACUGUUCUAACAGUACAGUCUUUCCUGGUUUUUCAAUUUACUACAGGUGGAUAAUCUCGGCAAAACCCAAGACAGUGAACAGAUUGAAUCACUUUUAACAGUUUGAGUCUUGAACGAAUUCCAAAGUGCUUAGACUCAAGCUGUUUUGCUUUCCUUUAACUAAUACCUCAAAUAAAGAUUAAAUAAUUUUUCUUUGAAAACUGGCCCAAAGUACUGGAAAAUUGCAUGCUUUUGAAAACCACAUUCAUUAUAAAAUGAGCAUUUGAGCAUUAUAAUUACACUGAUAUUUUAACUGGUGUUGCCAUAAAUUUAGGGGCAGGGACUGUCUCUUCAAAUCUUUCUUUGGUAUGCUGAAGUUCUCUUAAAGAGACACAAUUCUAAUAAAUUGAGAAAAUAAAACAUAACUGGGAUAUUUUGUUAUAUAAAUACUAUAACGGGUUUUGAAAAGAAAAGUUGCAAGCUUUCAACAUUGAACACAGUAAGGUAUUUUCCAAUCUUGUAAUUGGGCCUCAAAAGUCUAGUUUGGUAUAAAAUCCAUGAUCAAUUUAACACCAACGAACAUUUAAGGCUGAGCUUGCUUACCAUCAACUGAAACAAAGAUCAGGAAAGUAGAAGCAUGCAUGUGGCUUUAAAAGAUGGUAUAUAUUCUGUUAAAUUAUAGUGCAUAAAAUAAAAUAAAUCAAAAUAUAAAGCUUGACCGACUAGCAUGCAAUCUCUGAGAUUCAAUUUCAAGAUACUUGAAAAUGACCUCUCUGUUUAAAGUAUGUACAUUUAGACGUCUUCAAAAUUUUCUUUGGCUUUCCAUUGUUGAUGAGCACAGCCCAAACUACCUCUUACUUCCUUGAUUUAAAUACGGCAAAUGCUAAGGAGAAAGCUAGAUUACUGAUUCUGGACAUAAAGGAAGAAAGCAUUAGCAAUAAUGCCCAGUAGACUUAUCCUAGGGUAUAUAUAGAAAAAUGUACUUUUUAUAGACAUCCUGUGUCAAAGAAAACCUUUCAAUGGAGCCAUCUCAUUCUACUAUAUGCACAGGAAAUGUUCACUGUCAUAAUCACAAGGAUCAAUGAAUACUAUAGAAGCCACAUUGUGAGGUUAAAUGGGUGCAGACUUUGCCAUUAUUUUCAGGCUGACAUUUCCAGCCAAAUUUAUAUUGAUUCUUGAAGGAUAGGAGCUAUCGAGGAGGUGGCAUAAAGAUAAUUUAUCAUAACAGUUCCUUUGGAAUUUAAACAUUAGGGGAAAAAAAUCCAAAAUUGGCACCUGUGUCAUAUAAAAUGCAUAGCUACAUAAGAAAGCCUCAUCUUUUUGUAAAAACUUCUGUUUCCCCAGUUACGCUGCUUGAAAGUGAAUCUGUGUACCAGAAGGUUGUUCAGGAUUAUGAAACUUAAUGCAUUUCACCACAAGCAAAUAUAAACAUUUUCAAGAAAAGCACAAGGCAAGACACAUGAAAGACCAUAUGUUUUCAAUGCUCUCCAUGUCAAAACAAUACCAGUCUCCAGAAAAUAACUGCUAGUCACAUGGAAUUAUUUUGCCAGAUAUCUUCCAAAAGUUACUUGGAAGAAAGUACAGUGCACUCCACGUACCAUGUAAUAGAUAAAAAUAGAUUUCCCCAGACCAAAUGUAUUACACUGAUGAAUUAUUUUAUUGGCCAUAAUGCUUUAUAAGAUUUCUGAGUUUUACUGCUCAUGGGUUAGUGGCAAAGGUGAAAAUGAGAUAAGAGAAAACAGAGGCUUAAUUUUCUGGAAAAUGUUUCUCAAGAAGCUGUGUCAACUCCUUUUAGUUAAACUAAUAUUCUUGAUACAGAAAAAUAGACAGGGCAUUUUCCCUUCCCAGAGGCUAAGGGUUUUUUGUUUUUUUUUCUUCUCCUGCUGAAAGCCUGUAACCUUUCUCAGGUUCAUGCAGCACUUGCCGUUCUCUAUGUUGAAGAUCAAACACACACACACACACACACACACACACACACACACACGAGAACAAGAACAAAUCAACUUAGGAGGGAAAGGGUGAGGCAAAGGGUCUCUAUGAGACCUUCCAGCUGUAACAUUCCCAGGACUACCUUUUAACCAGCAUCAAAAUACUGCUCAGCAAACUAGAUGGAUGGGCACGCAAAUGACUUGUUCAAUCACUCAUCCUCUAUCACAUUGCUCUUAGCAUGGCCUCUUGCAUUGCCAAACCACUUUCUAAAUAAUGAGAGCAAAAACUUGGUGAAUGAGUCCUGAAAAAAACCCUCUAAUAUCAAAGGAACAAACCAUUCCCUAGAAAUAGCCACCCACCCUGAAGAUAGGGAAAGCGAAAUGGAAGGAUUCUUCACUCAUGAUUCUAGGAGGAUUGUCUGUCCCUUCCAGAAUGCGCUUCUUAAUGUUUUUAUAUUUUGAAAGCCCACAAUUUACUUCUAAUCUUUCCAUUUCUUGAAGACCGAACACACUCCAGACCCUUUGCUAGGUGCUUAUUACACCUUACUUCAUCCAAUCUUUUCAGCAACCUAAAGCACAUCUGGAUGCACAGAACGGGCUAAAUAAUUUGUGGCGCCCAGUGGAAAAGGAAAAUGUGGGGUCCAUGGUUCAAAAAAGCAGUUUAAUAAACGCUGUCGAACGUGAAAGCACACUGGCUCUGAGGUCUGCAACGUAAAACCGUGGAGGUCCUGAGGCCCGGCGGCCCACCCUGUUCUCAUUCCUUUCCUGUGCUAACGCUACACUGAAGAAAGUUUUAAUGGUUUGGAGUAAACAGAGCAAGAUUAAAAAGAAAGCUUGUAGAAAAUAGACUCUCAAAAAAUUAAAGACAAUAAUUACUACAUUAAAAAUGCCAUCAUUUGUGCCUUAAUAAUAUGACCUAUCAUAAAAAUGCCAUUUUAAUUGUUUUACCAUCU
Molecule: long non-coding RNA, 9452 nt
Organism: Equus asinus (donkey)
Lineage: Eukaryota; Metazoa; Chordata; Mammalia; Perissodactyla; Equidae
Source: Ensembl